GACGAACGCUGGCGGCGUGGAUUAGGCAUGCAAGUCGAACGGUAUCAUCCUUUCGGGGGUGAGAGAGUGGCGAACUGGUGAGUAACACGUAGGUUAUCUACCCUCAAGACGGGGACAACCCAGGGAAACUUGGGCUAAUACCGGAUGUGAGCAACUUUUAGUUGUUUGAAAGGUGGCGUAAGCUGUCGCUUGGGGAUGAGCCUGCGUCCUAUUAGUUAGUUGGUGAGGUAACGGCUCACCUAGGCAAUGAUAGGCAGGCGGCCUUAACGGGUGGUCGCCCACACUGGGAUUGAGAUACGGCCCAGACUCCUACGGGAGGCAGCAGUCGAGAAUAGUCUACAAUGGUACGGAAGACUGAUAGUGCGACGCCGGUGAACGAUGAACUCCCGUUCGGGGUAGUAAAGUUUCUUUUAUAUGUGAGCAGUGCUUCUUAUAUUAACAGUAGUGGGAGAGAGAUAUUAGCAUAUAGAAUAAGACAACGGACUAACUCCGUGCCAGCAGCCGAGGUAAAA
This 512-nucleotide ribosomal RNA is filed under the name uncultured bacterium. RNAcentral describes it as "bacterial SSU rRNA". It matches the Rfam family "Bacterial small subunit ribosomal RNA", at positions 28 to 525 of the family's 1533-position model. The record is from RNAcentral.